Molecule: non-coding RNA, 1081 nt
Organism: Linepithema humile (Argentine ant)
Lineage: Eukaryota; Metazoa; Arthropoda; Insecta; Hymenoptera; Formicidae
Source: RefSeq, a predicted model, not a curated record
CUUUAAUGCUAAAGCUAGUUUAGAUUGCACAAAAAUAUAUAAUGUUAAAGCUACUAAUACCCUGUGUCUACGCAAAGCAAGGUUCAUAAUUAUACUACUUAACGUGGAUUUGCGACUUACAAUUAAUAAUUAUCGAAAAUAUAUUUUGUAUUUCGUGCACAAUUCUAUUAGUACGCAUGCGCGCGUGACCGCAGCACAUACUCAUGUCGCUGCAAUUCGUCGAAGUGACAGGUUUCUUAACCUGAAAAGUCGUCAACUUUGACGCUAAAUAUCUCGUCUCGCGGAGGAGAGCGACAAUUUUGUGGAAGGAAAAGUUAAAAAAAAAAGCGUCGAAAGAGCCUAAUUGGAUCAAAAUCGGAGCGUAAUCAUUUCACGCAUGCAAGGUGUUCUGGUGAUGCUGAUGGUGAUGGCAAUAAUGAUGACAGCAUUAAACGGGAAAUGUAAUUGAUCCAAUGUCACGUGUUUGCACUAUGCUUAUUCAUUAAUAGAAUAAUGCUCAUGCGUCAUAGCACGCGAUGGGGUAGCUAAAGCGUUCCAAGGUGAUUACUUCGAAACUAUUGAAGAUAACGACUUCGAUUUUUUUAAAUAUUUUUUAAAUUUAGAGCUAAAACGAAUUCAAUGGUAUGAUAUACGACAACAUGAUCUUCAAAUGACCUUCAAAUGACUUGUACAGGAAAAUCUGCAUUAAAUUAAUUUCAUGUUUGCUGCAUAGAUGGCAAUAGAUUUAAUGACUGAAAGCGCUCCUUAUGUUUGUAAACACACACUUCGGCUCAUAACGCAACACAUUAAAUGCUCAGGGAUGUAGAUAAACAAAUGCAGAACGUACGUAGGAUAUUGGAAAAUCACAAUUUAAUAAAUUGUGCAAACAUAAAGACAUUGAUUACUUAAGAAAAUGUUCAAAAUGAUGUCCUAAACUUUUGGAGCCUAUAUACAAGAGAUUGUCAAAUUGCGGCCAGAAUAUCUGGUGUAAUUUCAAUACAGGCACAGUAAAUUCUAUUUUUCAUACCUUCUGAUGUAAUUGGAGAAAAUGACGACCCGUUCUUUGACAAAAUCCGACAGAAAUAAAUCAAAUGAACUUAGA